UGGGGAAUAUUGCGCAAUGGAGGAAACUCUGACGCAGCAACGCCGCGUGCGGGAUGAAGGCCUUCGGGUUGUAAACCGCUUUCAGCAGGGAAGACUCAAGACGGUACCUGCAGAAGAAGCCCCGGCUAACUACGUGCCAGCAGCCGCGGUAAUACGUAGGGGGCAAGCGUUAUCCGGAUUCAUUGGGCGUAAAGCGCGCGCAGGCGGACUUGUAAGCGGGACCUCUAAUCUUGGGGCUUAACCUCAAGCCGGGUUCCGAACUGCAAGCCUUGAGUGCGGUAGGGGUAAGCGGAAUUCCCGGUGUAGCGGUGGAAUGCGCAGAUAUCGGGAAGAACACCGAUGGCGAAGGCAGCUUACUGGGCCGUCACUGACGCUGAGGCGCGAAAGCUAGGGGAGCAAACAGG
Molecule: ribosomal RNA, 404 nt
Filed under: uncultured bacterium
Lineage: Bacteria
Description: bacterial SSU rRNA
Rfam family: Bacterial small subunit ribosomal RNA
Source: RNAcentral